This is a long non-coding RNA of Malurus melanocephalus (red-backed fairy wren), 755 nucleotides long. RefSeq lists it as uncharacterized. The record is from RefSeq and is a predicted model, not a curated record. The transcript has 3 exons. NCBI's taxonomy places the organism in Eukaryota, Metazoa, Chordata, Aves, Passeriformes, Maluridae.
CAGUAACUGGGUUUGCAACAGCACAGACCCCUCAGCAAAAGCAGAUACUGAAGGGGAGAAAGUGAACAUGCUGUCCAUGGCUGUGCUGGGUUUGAGAGUUCUGCUGGCAAAGAGCAUCGCCUUCAAUACACUCAUGAGUAUCAAGUUGUUCCUUUUCUGAGAUAUGAGGAAUGAAGGCAAGAGGAACAUGAAGAAGAGCAGGAAAGAGCGUGAACCAGCAGCACAAGGGGUUGAACCAGCAGUGUCAGAGCUGCUUACAGUGACCACCCAGGACACAAAGCAGCACWKUCCCCUGGAGACACUGAAUGCUGUUCACUCCUGCCUGGCCAGCUGAUUUACACUGAAGAGUUUGAAGUGCUUUUGCUGUUUCCCCUCCUCUGAGAAUUGAGGAGAGUAGGUUUAUCCUCAUCCUCCUCCUGAGUAGAUCUCCCCUUUCUCCACCAUUUGCAUAGAAAUGUCCAGCCUGCUUCAACAGCUUUGAAAACCCCAAUGCUUGCUACAGAUUUAUGGCAUUUCAAAAGCCCCUUUCCCAGGCACCUUGUGUCACUGCCUGGAGAACUGGAGUGUUACGGCUGAGGGAAUUCAAGCCCAUUAAUUGCCAUUUGUAGCUUUGGGGUUUAGAUCAUUUUAAUACCAAAAAUUGCGUGUAUUGUAGAUGAGAAGAGCUGUGUAGGAUCUGAAGUGAUUCAACUCAACCAGGUAAUAUUUAACCAGAGAAGCAUUUCUUAUUAAUCCUGUAUUUCUUCUGCUGAAUC